CAACAUGUACUUUGUCGUGGUCUACGUCCAGGAGCUAGGGCAUGUGGCACUGUAUGUGGUGGCUGCAGUGGUUAGCGUGGCUUAUCUGGGCUUUGUGUUCUACUUGGGUUGGCAGUGUUUGAUUGCGUUGGGCCUGUCGUUCCUGGACUGUGGGCGCUCGGUAAGCAUCUCUAAAGUCCUGCUGAGCGAAGAUACCAGCGGUGGCAAUACUAAGUAAACACUGGGUCAGCCUGUCUGUCUGUCUUUGCAGGGAGCCAUCAGAGCCAGUGUGUUUCUAUGGUUUACUGUGUGAACAUAGCCACAAGUAUGUGCCGUUGCACAGACUGCAUUUAGGGACCAACUGUUAGUUGGGAAACACUGGGGUGGGUGUGUGGUGUGUGUGUGUGUGUUGUUUCCUUCUGUCUUUGUCAAAUAGCAUGCUGCUAUUAAAUGCUUGGUGGCCUAAAA
This 447-nucleotide long non-coding RNA is filed under the name Rattus norvegicus (Norway rat). RNAcentral describes it as "long non-coding RNA NONRATT027320". The stretch from base 252 to 283 matches the Rfam family "Iron response element II". Lineage: Eukaryota; Metazoa; Chordata; Mammalia; Rodentia; Muridae. The record is from RNAcentral.